AAAAAAAAAAUAUAAUAGCCUUUCAAGACGUCAUAAUUAUUUGGACUAUCAAGGCCAGGGCUGCCAAAAAUGCGUGAGACUCACGCAUGUUCAUGCUUUUUGCAGCAGUAUCCUUGGAUCAAUUUUUUCCUCUUUGAUCUUUUCUAUUUUGGCCAAAUCUCACGAAUUUGCUUAAUGAAAAGUUGGCAGAACUGCUAUACAUGUGUCAAUGAAAACUA
RNAcentral lists this long non-coding RNA (218 nucleotides) under Mytilus galloprovincialis (Mediterranean mussel). The record is from RNAcentral. Lineage: Eukaryota; Metazoa; Mollusca; Bivalvia; Mytilida; Mytilidae.